This 1434-nucleotide ribosomal RNA is filed under the name Eriauchenus sp. 5 HMW-2014. RNAcentral describes it as "eukaryotic LSU rRNA". It matches the Rfam family "Eukaryotic large subunit ribosomal RNA", at positions 76 to 1139 of the family's 3401-position model. The record is from RNAcentral. Lineage: Eukaryota; Metazoa; Arthropoda; Arachnida; Araneae; Archaeidae.
UCCCCAAGUAGCGGCGAGCGAACCGGGAAGAGUCCAGCGCCGAAUCCCCGGGCCGCUCCGUGGCCCGCGGGAAAUGUGGCGUGUGAGAGGCCGCGUGCCGCCGUUCUAUGCCGCGGAGCAAGUUCCUUCGAGUGGGACGUGCCCGAGGGCAACCGCAGAGGGUGCGAGUCCCGUGGCCCGCGGAAAGUUGCGUGCGGAUGGCGGCCGUCUCUCGAGUCGGGUUGCUCGGGAGUGCAGCCCAAAGAAAGGUGGUAAACUCCAUCUAAGGCUAAAUACUGCCUCGAGACCGAUAGCGAACAAGUACCGUGAGGGAAAGUUGCAAAGAACUUUGAAGAGAGAGUUCAAGAGUGCGUGAAACUGCCCGGAGGAAAACGGGUGGGCGUUCGAAGGCCCCCGUCGUACACUUUGCCGGAUAUUCAGUGCUGCCGCCAAUGGGGAACGGAUGAAGGUUCUUCGUUCGGUGCGCGAAGUCCGUUCGUAUGCGAUUCGUCGCUUCGUUUCGGCUCGCGUCGUCCGGCGUCCCGGAUUGACCUUCCCGACGGCGCACGCAAUUCCGAGCUUCGGUGUCGGCUUCAGGGCGCCGCGACGGAUCGAACACAAAAAGAGUGCCGUUCGGCGGGCCUGGUUAUCGCGCCGGUUGUGGUUCUGCCCCUCGGGGUCGGGACCCUCCCGCGGCUCGGCAAUAACCGCCGUCCGGUCGUUCGAUUCGAUUGCCUCGCGCAGUGGCGUUCGGUGCACUUUUCGUUCGGCGAGUCACUCUCCCGGUCUUCGCGAGGGGUUUCUAGUCCUCUCCGUCGCCGGAGGUCUCCCGACGCGAGAGUAGUCGCCGUCUCUAGCCAUCGCGGCGAACGUCUCGGUGUCCCACCCGACCCNNNNNNNNNNNNNGACCAAGGAGUCUAACGCAUGCGCGAGUCGCGGGGUCUCGACAGAGCCCCGUCGGCGUAGCGAAGGCGAAGCCGAAACGAACGUCCAAAAAAUUUGUGGCUUUUUUCUCAGCAUCGGAGACCCGGCGUAAAGGUCGGCCCUUCGUUGGAGCUUUUCGGAGCCGAAGCGUAGGUCGCCGGCUCGUCGGAGUCAGAGCGUGUGAGUUGGUACCCGAAAGAUGGUGAACUAUGCCCGACCAGGGCGAAGCCGGAGGAAACUCCGGUGGAGGCCCGAAGCGGUUCUGACGUGCAAAUCGAUCGUCGGAGUGAGGUAUAGGGGCGAAAGACCAAUCGAACCGUCUAGUAGCUGGUUCCCUCCGAAGUUUCCCUCAGGAUAGCUGGCAUUCGGGAAAUCUUCAGUUGCUUCGCGUAGAGAGAAUGAGUAGAGGCCCUGGGGCCCUAGACGACCUCAACCUAUUAUCAAACUACUACGGGGUGCGUCGGGGCCGGCCUUGCUCGAUUGAGGUGCCGGCCUAACGAGAAUGUACGAGUGCCGUGUGGGCCAUUUUUG